Molecule: ribosomal RNA, 447 nt
Filed under: uncultured bacterium
Lineage: Bacteria
Description: bacterial SSU rRNA
Rfam family: Bacterial small subunit ribosomal RNA
Source: RNAcentral
CCCAGACUCCUACGGGAGGCAGCAGUGGGGAAUAUUGCACAAUGGGGGAAACCCUGAUGCAGCGACGCCGCGUGAGUGAGGAAGUAUUUCGGUAUGUAAAGCUCUAUCAGCAGGGAAGAAAAUGACGGUACCUGACUAAGAAGCCCCGGCUAACUACGUGCCAGCAGCCGCGGUAAUACGUAGGGGGCAAGCGUUAUCCGGAUUUACUGGGUGUAGAGGGAGCGUAGACGGCUAAUCAAGUCAGAAGUGAAAACCUAGGGCUCAACCUUGGGACUGCUUUUGAAACUGAGUAGCUAGAGUGCAGGAGAGGUAAGCGGAAUUCCUAGUGUAGCGGUGAAAUGCGUAGAUAUUAGGAGGAACACCAGUGGCGAAGGCGGCUUACUGGACUGUAACUGACGUUGAGGCUCGAAAGCGUGGGGAGCAAACAGGAUUAGAUACCCGAGUACU